UUGGGCUCUGCUCAGUACAGAGAUUUAGUGAACACAUAGCAUCACUCCAUUUUUUUUCCUUCAGGUGUGGAUUUCAUUCUUAGUCAUCAUCAGCUAAAUUUUGGAGAAUUGAGCUUCUGAGAGAAAUUUACCUUAUCUGAAUAAACCUCCAAAGAGUUGAACCAUGAAAAGAAGGCAAAAGAGGCCGCCCACCUGCUUACGAAACACCUGUACUGCCAGGAGGAGCCUCUGUCGCAUGGGCCAGAGGAAAUGAACUCCACCAGGUUCCAAGAUACCAAUAGCAGUUUCUCAGCUGAAGCUUCUAGAACUCAUGGAAUCUGUGGAAGCCUUUGGAUUAACCCUUGAAAAACAAGGUGACAGCAUCAUCACCAUUGGGGCCAAGAAGCAGAUGCCAGGGUGCAGGGUCUGCUUCUCUCCAGCAUAUGAAAAUAAAUGGCAGAGUUCAAGU
Non-coding RNA from Ictidomys tridecemlineatus (thirteen-lined ground squirrel), 448 nucleotides. Lineage: Eukaryota; Metazoa; Chordata; Mammalia; Rodentia; Sciuridae. The record is from RefSeq and is a predicted model, not a curated record.